RNAcentral lists this unclassified non-coding RNA (239 nucleotides) under uncultured fungus. RNAcentral's name for it is "sequence contains ITS2". The stretch from base 1 to 52 matches the Rfam family "5.8S ribosomal RNA", at positions 103 to 154 of the family's 154-position model. Lineage: Eukaryota; Fungi. The record is from RNAcentral.
AACGCACAUUGCGCCCUCUGGUAUUCCGGGGGGCAUGCCUGUUCGAGCGUCAUUACAACCCUCAAGCUCUGCUUGGUAUUGGGUGUUACCAUUUUGGUACACCUUAAAAUCAGUGGCGGUGCCACCUGGCUUCUAGCGUAGUAAUACUCCUCGCUAUGGAGAUGGGUGUACACUUGCCAUAACCCCCAGUUUUUUUCACGGUUGACCUCGGAUCAGGUAGGGAUACCCGCUGAACUUAA